This 6937-nucleotide long non-coding RNA is filed under the name Homo sapiens (human). RNAcentral describes it as "HSALNT0278218". Lineage: Eukaryota; Metazoa; Chordata; Mammalia; Primates; Hominidae. The record is from RNAcentral.
AAACAAUAAAAAUAACACUCAGCCUCGCCGCGUGAGGUCGGCGCGAGAAUCGGCGGGGGCAGCCGCGGGGCCUCGGGGGCGGAAGACGCACUCAGUGGGGAAGAGCGCGCGGCCGGGCCCCAGGGCGGAAGUCCCUGGUGGAGGUGAAGUCCGAGGAGGAGGAAGAGGAGGAGGAGAAAAAGGAGGAGGAGGGCUCAGCGGUCUCGAAGCUGCGGCCCAGGCGGGGCAGGAGAUGUGAAGAUGCCAGGUCCCCGGGGAGGGCAAAGGGCGUGCGGGCCGUAAGGGACAGCAGAGCGGUCGGGGCCGCCCACCCGGCGGACGCCGGAGGCGAGAGGCCCCACCCCGGCUCCUCUCCACACCCCGCGCGGCCUUGGGGAGUCAGCCCGGGACUCGCUCCCGGCAGGUGUCCUACCCUCCCCCGGUCCCGGUUGGCGCGGCGGCCGGCACGGCGGGCGCGGAGGGGGCCGCGCUGGUGUCACCAGGAGUGAACAGCCCAGCUAUUCAGGGAGGGGGCGCCCCCCGCUGCCCUCCGCGACCCGCGCUGACGUCGCCGCGCAGCCCGUUACGUAACCCCCCUCCCCGCCUUUCCUCGCGGGCCCGGCCUCCUCCUCCAGCGCCGCCUCGCCUGCCGCAGCGCCUCCGCGUUCCGCUUUGCGCCCAAAGGGAAACUGAGGCCCUUCUCCAGCAGAGCACGGCGGGUAGUGCCCGCGGGAGUGGCUGUGACCGUCCUCGUUAGGAUUCUUGGGUCCCUAGGGGAGCCCAGACUGCGAAGGGAGCCCCAGCUCCGCCUGGGGGACUCGGCUUCCUCCUGUCUACCGCGUUCUUCCUUCCUGGCCUGGACUCUGGGGGCUCUGGAGUCUUCUGUGGCCGCUCCACCCACAUUUGUGCCUGGGCCACCAUGUGCCUUAAAUUAUAAAGUCGGGCAGUGACGCUCAGUAGGGGUUGGUUUCUCCACCUUCCUCUGGGUGACCUUAGGCAGAUUUUGCCUCUCCGAACCUCAGUGUCCCCACCUGUCUAAAAUGGCCCCUUCCUUCUAGUGUGGUGGGGAAGAACAGCAGCAUGUCGACACCCGGGACUCACUCGAUUCCCCAGGGUGGAGUGCAGCGGUACGAUCAUGGUUCACUGCACCCUCGAUCUUCUGGGCUCAGGUGAUCCUCCCCGCUCAGCCUCUGAAGUAUCUGGGACUACAGGUAGGCACCAUACCUGGCUUAAUUUUUAAAAAGGUUUUUGUGGUUUAGCUGGGCUUGGUGGUGUGUGCCUGUAAUCUCAGCUAUUUGGGAGGCUGAGGCAAGAGAAUCACUUGAACCUGGGCGACAGAGAUUGCAGUAAGCCAAGAUGGCACCAUUGCACUCCAGCCUGGGCGACAGAGCAAAAUUACAUCUCAAAAAAAAAGAAAAUUCUGUAGAGAUAGGAUCUUGCUAUGUUGCCCAGGCUGGUCUCAAACUCCUGGACCCAAGUGAUCCUCCCACCUUGGCCUGCCAAAUACUUGGGAUUAUAGGCAUGAGCCACUGCACCUCACAAAGACUUGCAUGCACUUGGCCUUGCAUGCAAGUCUUUAUAAGGACAUAACGUUUAUUUCCUUCCCCCUUUUUUUUUUUUUUUGAGACGGAGUCUCGCUCUCAUUGCUCAGGCUAGAGUGCAGUGGUGCUAUCUCGGCUCACUGCAAUCUCUGCCUCCUGGGUUCAAGUGAUUCUCCUGCCUCAGCCUCCCAAGUAGCUGGGAUUACAGGCGCCAGCCACCACGCCCGGCUAAUUUUUGUAUUUUUAGUAGAGAUGGGAUUUCACCAUGUUGGCCAGGCUGGUCUUGAACUCCUGACCUCAGGUGAUUGGCCCACCUUGGCCUCCCAAAGUGUUGAGAUUAUAGGCGUGAGCCACCUCACUAGGCCUUAUUUCUUUUUCCUUUUUUUGUUUUUUGAGACGGAGUCUUGCAUCUCGCUCUGUCGCUCAGGCGGUAAUACAGUAGCAAGUUCUCUGCUCACUGCAACCUCCACCUCCUUGGUUCAAGCAAUUCUCCUGCCUCAGCCUCCUGAGUGGCUGGGACUCCAGGCGUGUACUCCUACGUCCGGCUAAUUUUUUUUUUUUUUUUGAGAUGGAGUCUCACUCUGUCGCCAGGCUGGAGUGCAGUGGCACGAUAGCGGCUCACUGUAACCUCCGCCACCGGGGUUCAAGUGAUUCUCCUGCCUCAGCCUCCCGAGUAGCUGGGACUACAGGUGCGUACCAUCACGCCCAGCUAAUUUUUGUAUUUUUAGUGGAGAUAGGGUUUCACCGUGUUGGCCAGGAUGGUCUCGAUCUCUUGACCUCAUGAUCCACACACCUCAGCCUCCCAAAGUACUGGGAUUACAGUCGUGAGACACUGUGCCCAGCCUAUUUCCUUUUCUUGUGAGGAGAUAGGAAUAGAAUGGCUGUAUCACAUGGUAAAUGUAUAACUUCUUUUUGAGCCCAGGUCUCACUCUGUCAUUCAGGCUGGAGUUCAGUGGCCCACUGCAGCCUUAACAUCCCAGUCUCAAGCAAUCCUCUCACCUCAGCCUCCUGAGUAGCUGGGACCACAGGUGCCAGCCAUAACACCUCACUAAUUUUUUUUUUUUUUUUUUUGAGACAGAGUCUUGUUAUGUUGCCUGGGCUGUAGUGCUAUGGGGGAAUCUCAGCUCACUUCAACCUCUGCCUCCCAGGCUCAAGCGAUUCUCCUGCCUCAGCCUCCCAAGUAGCUGGGACUACAGGCACACACCACCAUGCUUGGCUAAUUUUUGUAUUUUUAGUAGAGAUGAAGUUUCACCAUUUUGGCCAGGCUGGUCUCAAACUCCUGACCUAGUGAUCUGCCUGCCUUGGCCUCCCAAAGUGCUGGGAUUACAGGCAUGAGCCACCACGCCCAGCCCACUAAUUUUUUAAGUUUUUGUAGAGAUGGGGUCUUGCCAUGUUGCCCAGGCUGGUCUUGAACUCCUGGGCUUAAGUGAUCCUCCCACCUCAGCCUCUCAAAGUGGUAGGAUUACAGGUGUAAGCCACCACGCUUGACCAUUUUUUGUAGAGACAAGGUCUUCUCACUGUGUUGCACAGGCUGGUCUUGAACUCCUUGGGCUCAAACAAUCCUCCCACCUUGGCCUCCCAAAGUACGGGGAUCACCGGCAUGAGCCACCAUGUCUGGCUGUAUGUUUAACUUUUUAAGAAACUUCCCGGCCAGGCGCAGUCGCUCACGCCUGUAAUCCGAGCACUUUGUGAGGCCGAGGCGGGCGGAUCACAAGGUCAGGAGAUCGAGACUUUCCUGGCUAAACGGUGAAACCCCAUCUCUACUAAAAAUAUAAAAAAUUAGCUGGGCGUGGUGGCGGGUGCCUGUAGUCCCAGCUAUUCGGGACACUGAGGCAGGAGAAUGGCGUGAACCCGGGAGGCGGAGCUUGCAGUGAGCCGAGAUUGCGCCACUGCACUCCAACCUGGGCAACAGAGCAAGACUCCAUCUCAAAAAGAAAACAAAAACAAAAAAAAAAGAAGAAACUUCCCUUCUGGCCGGGCGCGGUGGCUCACGCCUGUAACCCCAACAUUUUGGGAGGCCGAGGCAGGUGGAUCCCCUGAGGUCAGGAGUUCAAGACUAGCCUAGCCAACAUGGCGAAACCCCGUCUCUACUAAAAAUACAAAAAAAUUAAGUGAUGUGGUGGCAGGCGCCUGUAAUCCCAGCUACCUGGGAGGCUGAGACAGGGAGAAUUGCUUGAACCCGAGAGGCAGAGGUUGCAGUGAGCCGAUAUCGAGCUACUACACUCCAGCCUGGGCAACAGAGCGAGACUCUGUGAAGAAAAAAAAAAAAGAAGAAACUUCCCUUCCACAUUAUUUUCCAAAAUGGUUGUACCAUUUUACAUUCUCAUCAGCAGUAUAUAAAGUUACUAAUUCCUGCACAUCUUCACCAGCAUUUGGUGUGUACAGUCUCUUUCAUUUUAGCUGUUUUAAUAGGUAUGUUCAUUGUGGUUUUAGGCGGGGUGCGGUGGCUCAAGCCUGUAAUCUCAGCACUUUGCGAGGGGUUUUACGUUUCUGCCUUCUGGAAACCUCUGUGGUUUGUUGAAAGAGUCACUUACACUUGCUGUGCCCUUGGCUUCACCCUUCACUCCUGUGCCCCUUAGUCUCACUCCUCUUUCCCCUCUCCACAGACUCCCUAAGGCCCCCUCAAAUCCAGGGGUAACAAAUCCAGGUGUCAUGUUACCCUGCAACUCACCCUGAAGCACUUGGCAUAAGUGCUGUUCCCCUUCAAAUUCUUCACCUACUAGGUUGUCAACCCUCUGAAAAGCCUUCCAGGGCCACGUGGGAGCCUCGUCUGGGUGCAUAUAGCUCCUCGGCCGCCUCCUGCUGUGGAUCUGAUGUGGUGUUGAAGUAUGAGACCUGGGUUUGUCUUCUCCCAGCUCUUCCACCAGUAGAAGUCCCCUCCAAGGGCAAGGCCUGGGUCUGCUCCUGCAGUGGUCCUUGCUCUGGACCUGGCAUAAAGGAGGGCUCCAGGAGGGUUUGCAGUUGAAUAUGUGAGAGAAAGCUCUCUGUCUCUUUUUUUUUUUUUUUUUUUGAGACGGAGUCUCACUCUGUCACCAGGCUAGAGUGCAAUGGUGUGAUCUCGGCUCACUGCAACCUCCACCUCCCGGGUUCAAGUGAUUCUUCUGCCUCAGCCUCCCAAGUAGCUGAGACUACAGGGGCAUGCCACCAUACCCAGCUAAUUUUUUGUAUUUUUAGUAGAGACGAGGUUUCAUCAUGUUGGACAGGCUGGUCUUGAACUCCUGACCUCAGGUGAUCCAUGCACCUGAGCCUCCCAAAGUGCUGGGAUUACAGGCAUGAGCCACUGCACCCGGCCGAGAAAGCUCUCUUAUUGUCUUUGCCCCUAGCUACAGAUAAGGCAACCACGGGGCAAGAAACUUACUGCGUAUUGAAGAGAAAAUCCCAGCUUCCUAUCCAGGCUUCAGGCAGGGCCCAUGCUAUGGCCUGGAGCCCCCUUUGACCUCAUCUGCUCCACUUGCCUCUUGCUUGCUGCUGGUCUUUUCUUCCCUGAACCCACCGUCCUGUUCCUGCCUCUCGCCCUUGGAAGUGUCUGGUCCUGCUGCUCUUCUCCCUGUUAAGCAUGUGACAAGGAAUCGUAUGCUUCAGGUCACAGGUUGAAAGCCCCCUUCUCGGGAAGACCUGCCUUGUCUUGUCCACCCAAUAUAAGUGUCUACUUGGUCACUAGCCACUGUCACUGGUCGUGAUUAUCUUACCAUCUGCCAUUUUCUCAUUUAUUUGUUUGUUUUCAGUUAAUAGAACAUUGCUUCAGGAGAGCAAGGAAUUUGUCUGCAGUUGCCCCUUAUUUCCUCAUGCCUAGCACAGUGUCCAGUGUUUAUGGGGGCCCCAUAUUGAAUGUGGAAUUUUGUUUUUUUUUUGAGACAGGGUUUCACUCUGUUGCCCAGGCUGGAGUGCAGUGGCAUGACCACAUCUCACUUCUUCCUUGACCUCUUGGGCUCAAGUGAUCCUCCCACCUCAGCCUCCUGAGUAGCUGGGACUGCAGGCAUAUGCCACCAUGGCUGGCUAAUUUUUUUAUUUUUUGUAGAGACAUGGGAGUCUCACCAUGUUCCCCAGGAUGGUCUCGAACUCCUGGGCUCAAGCAAUCUUUCUGCCUUUGCCUCUCAAAGUUCUAGGAUUACAAGCAUGAGCCAUUGCCUCAGCUGAAUAUUGAAUGUUUAAUAUAAUGAAUCAGGCCGGGCGCGGUGGCUCAUGACUGUAAUCUCAAUACUUUGGGAGACUGAGGCAGGCGGAUCAUUUGUGGUCAGGAGUUCUAGACUGGCCUGGCCAAUAUGGUGAAAAUCCUUCUCUACUGAAAAUAUAAAAAUUAGCCGGACAUGGUGGCAUGCACCUAUAAUCCCAGCUACUCGGGAGGCGGAGGCAGGAGAAUCGCUUGAACCUGGGAGGCAGAGGUUGCAGUGAGCCAAGAUCACACCACUGCACUCUAGCCUGGGUGACAGAGCGAGACUCCAUCUCAUAUAAAAAUAAAAAUAGUAUAGUGAAUCAGGCUGGGUGAGGUGGCUUAUACCUGUAAUCCCAGCACUUUAGGAGGCAUGAGGAUCACUUGAGCCCAGGAAUUUGAGACGAGCCUGGGCAACAUAGUAAGACCCUGACUCUACAAAAAAUUAAAAGUAAAAAAUUAACUGGGUGUCAUGGCUUGAACCUGUAAUCCUAGCUACUCGGGAGACUGAGGCAGGAGGAUUGCUUGAGCCUGGGAGGUCACAACUGCAGUGAGCCAUGAUCAUGUCACUGCACUCCAGCCUGAGUGACAGAGGAAGGAAGAACCUGUCUCAAAAAAUAAUAAUAAUAAUAAUAAUAUAGUGAAUCAGGGCAGAGCUAGAAAAACAACCCAGGUGUCUGGGCCUCUGGGCCAAGACUCUUCUCCUGUCUGGACUUCCCAGCCCUGCCACAGCGCGGCAAUAGUUUGACUAGGUUUUUGUGUCUUGGGUUGGGGGGGUCCCACCUGAUGGCAUAUGGUUCUGCCCAGGGCUCAACCUAUCAUUAUUUCCUCACAUCUUUGGGAAAAGUGCCACCAUACAGGGUCCUCCUAGGGCCCUCCACAGGGCUCAGGAGCCAGUGGGGCAAGAAGAGGUGCAGGCACAGGGACCAUCUUGAAUGGCCUAGCUGGACAGGGGCCUAGCCUGACUGUCCCCUGUUGUACAAAUGGGACAGAUGUCAAGAGGGGUUCAAAGUUACACAGUGAAUUGGCAGCUUCAAGGACCUAGAACCUACUUCUCUCUGAUAGUGAAAUUCCCCAAAUUAAAAAUUCAGAGAAUUGGCCGGGCGCGGUAUCUCACACUUGUAAUCCCAGCUCUUUGGGAGGCUGAGGUGGGCGGAUCACCUGAGGUCAGGAGUUUGAGACCAGCCUGGCCAACAUGGCGAAACUCUGUCUCUACUAAAAGUACAAAAAUUGGCCAGGCAUGGUGGCUCAUGCUUGUAACCCCAGC